Molecule: ribosomal RNA, 450 nt
Filed under: uncultured bacterium
Lineage: Bacteria
Description: partial 16S ribosomal RNA
Rfam family: Bacterial small subunit ribosomal RNA
Source: RNAcentral
GUGGGGAAUAUUCCGCAAUGGACGAAAGUCUGACGGAGCAACGCCGCGUGAGUGAUGAAGGUUUUCGGACUGUAAAGCUCUGUUGUUUAGGACGAAAGUGCCUGUUGCGAAUAGUUACAGGUAUUGACGGUACUGAACGAGGCAGCCACGGCUAACUACGUGCCAGCAGCCGCGGUAAUACGUAGGUGGCAAGCGUUGUCCGGAAUUAUUGGGCGUAAAGGGCAUGUAGGCGGGAAUCUAAGUCUGUUGUUAAAAGGCGGGGCUCAACCCCGUAUUGCGAUGGAAACUGGGUUUCUUGAGUGCAGGAGAGGAAAGGGGAAUUCCCAGUGUAGCGGUGAAAUGCGUAGAAAUUGGGAGGAACACCAGUGGCGAAGGCGCCUUUCUGGACUGUGUCUGACGCUGAGAUGCGAAAGCCAGGGUAGCGAACGGGAUUAGAAACCCCUGUAGUCC